GCCGAGGGCCCGUCCUCCCAUCAGGACCUGCCUUGGGAGGCAGGGACCUCGCUCCUGGGGGGAUCCGUGCCGAGGUGGGUCCAGGCAUCCUUGGAAUCCUGGAACCACUCCUCAGCACAGCCACCCCAACCAGUGCAAAUGGCAUCCCCCAAGACCAGGACAGCUCCGCCCAGCUCACCCCGGAGUCGCCCAUCCCUAGAACGAUGAACUCAGAUAUCAACUCUGGAAGGUCCCUGAUUGACAGAUGGGGAAACUGAGGGCAGCAACCCUCACGAGGUCGUCCCAGCUUGAACCCGAGCUGGUGCCUGGGAGCCCCGGACCCUCACUGUGCUGCCCAACCUGGGACGCCAAGGCCACAUGCUUCCCUGCUGUUAAGAGAUGGAAACAUCACAGGGAGGGGCCCUGCCCACCCGGGAUGCUGUAUGGAGGAAUAUGACGCCGGAAGAGGCGGCUGCCAUCUUGCACCCAGAGGAAGCAACCGGGUUCCCCACCCCAGAUCCCUGGGUUAACCCACCCUGGCCAUCUUCCUCUAGUCUUCUUGGCGAGUUCCCUCCGGCCAGGUCUCUGCAGCCAUGAGCCCUCCUGUGACCCACAUCCCACAUCAGCCCCAUGAAGGCGACCCCAUGAUGGUGCCCCCAUCAGCGCUGAUCAGGAGGAGCUCCAGGACCUGCCCGCUCUGCUUCUGAGCCCCCGUGGCUGCUCAGCCCAGCUCUUCCCGGAAGCCGCCCAAUCUACCAGGUGCAACCAUGUCCCUGUGAAUGCAGCUGGGUUGGGAAGGUGUAAGGCAGAGUGAAAGAAGCCAGACUCAAAAGACAUCUUAUUGUGGGAUCGUUUGGACAUGACAUUCUGGAAAAGGCAAAAUUAUAGAGACAGAAAACAGAUGCUCGGGAGCAGGGACUGAGGUGGGAAGGAACCUUCGGGGGUGAUGGGAACUCUUUAGGUCUUGAUGUUGGUAAUGGCUACAGGGCCCCACACAUCUGUCAAGACACACUGAACUGUACACCUGGAAAGAAUGAACUGCACUGUAUGUAAAUUACACCCCCAUUAACCUGACUUCAAAACACAGCAGGAUGCCCUUCUGGGAAGAGCCAGGCCCUCCCCACUCAAGAAGGAGUAACCCCAAUGUCUGCAAACUGGUUUUGAUCAAUGAACCUCUUCCUUAGAAUGAACUACCUGCAGUAACCUCAAUAUAAAAGAAAGCAAAGAUGCUUUCUCCUCCAACCCAAGAUGCCCCCAAGAAAUCAUGGGCUCCGGGGGACCUCGAAUGCUAGUGCCAGCCCUACCUCCUGCAGGUGAACCUGGGGGCCAGGGCUGGCUCGCCAGGCAUGGGGAGGGGACUCCACAUGGACACCCUGCCGGCAGGGGCCAUGGUGCGAGAGGGAGGUACACCACAGCAGAAGCAUCUCUGCUGUGGAAACACAGCCCUGUGUCCAUCAGCAGCCUCCCAGCCACGGUCCAGACGGGCGGUCAAGCAUGCAGGCUUCAGACGUGGACGCCGUACCUCCCACCCCCGGCUGGGAGACCCAGGCAAGUCACUCUGGCCUGUGUGCCCAGGUUCCCUCAAGUGUGACAUGGCCACAGCCCCUCCCUUGCUGGGCUUUCAGGACGGUUCCACGAGACGACAUAGGUGGAAAACGCAGCUUGCAUUUAACCCCACAUCCAGGCAGUGGCCGCCGCCGUCCUCGCUGUUACCCCUCGGUGCUGGGGGAGGGGAGGGCAAAGGCCCCAUGGGCGCCCCUCCCCCUGGCCUGAGCCGUUUCAUCUGGUUUGUAUCGAGGGGUCUCCAUGUGACUGGGUGUGAAAGGAGAGCUCUGAGGCUCGAUGAACUUUGAAAGCCCUGGUCCCCAAGGCCUUCCCGCUGUCGGCCUGAGACUCUGACCGCCCCUUGCCUCGGGCCUGGAAACAGGCCUAACGCUGUCCAGGCGCGCCCAUCAAAGCCCGUCUGUCGAGCACACAUUUUUCUGAGCGUUUGGAGGAUCUGGGAGGUCCUGCGAGGUGUCGAGGACGGAGGUCCUGGCUGGCCCUCCCCUGGGCCAGCAUCACCUCCUGAGAAGGGCCGCUCAAAGAGGGUUCAAUUUCCCAACCCGGGGAGGGCAUGUGUUUAAUUAAGAUCUAUAAAAACGUAGCCGGCAAAACGAGAGAACUAUUUCAUCUUUCACAGUCAAUCCGGGUGUGUGUCUUACCUGGAAAAAGUGGUUUAUGCAGAAAGAAUUUCCCAAAUGGGUUCCAUAUGCCUCACUCUCCCAAGCGGGGGCCUUCCACGGGGAAGGGGGCUGGGGCGGGGGGCUGAGACCGAGCCCCCUCCUCCUAGACGCUCGGCCUCAGCCCACACCCUCCAGCGGCUGCCGCUGUUUAAACAGAAGACGUCAUGGCCAGUGAUAUACGCUGGAUUCCAAAGAUGGUUCCAUCCAGGGGAGAUGGCUCCUGGAGCCGGCUCCAGCUCAGGUAAGCCACCCAGAAUGGCCAGGGUGUGACCCGGCUGACCCUCCCAAGGGCCUGACCCACAGGCGCCCCUUGUGCAGACCGUUUCUUGCCAGUUAUUCUGCAGCAGGUCAAGGCCGUGAGCACAGUCCUGAGAUGCUCAGGAUCCCGGAGGUGAAAGGCGCUAAGCACGUGCCUGGAUGCAUCCCCCCCCACAUACAAUGGGACGGGGGAGCCCCAGAGGGGACACAGCUAGUCCAAGACCACAGACCUGGUGAGCCCCAAAGAGUGUCAUCUUUUCAGAUUCCCCUUUGAAGGUCAAGACGCACCAGAAGGGACAUAGAGGGGAAAGGGGGAUGGGGGCUGUCCUUAACGCCACCCCUCCUACUGCCCCAGUGUCACCUCUUCCAAAGGGUCUGCUGCGGUGCCCCACCCCUCACAUGGCUCUCUAGCUUGUCCCACUGCGACAUGAUUUUACAUAUAUCAGCUCACUCAAAUACAUAUUUAUAGAUUUACCAGAACACUGGCUUUCCCCUUAUAUUAGGGCAGAUUCCCAGGAGGUCUGGGACUAUAUUUGUCUGGUUCGCUGUGGUUUCCUGUGCUGAGGACGGACCUUGGGAUGUAACAGGUGCUCAGUUCAUUGUCACCACCACCACCACCACCACCGUCACCACCACCACCACCACCACCGUCACCACCACCACCGUCACCACCACCACCGCCACCACCAGCACCGUCACAACCACCACUGCCACCACCACCACCGUCACCACCACCACCGCCACCACCACCACCAUCACCAGUGUCACCAUCACACUGCUAAUAACAGCUAACCCACAUUGAGCACCAACCAGACCCUGUGUCCGGUGUUUUGUGUGGAUUAACACAUUGCACCACCCCUCCAUCCGCACAGAGUGAGACUGUUACCACCCCAUUUCGCAGGUGAGGACACUAAGGCACAGGACUUUAGAAACUUGCCCAGAGUCAGACAGUUCACAAAGGUCAAAGCUGAGAUGCCCUUGAAUUGACAGAAAGAGCCCCUGUGCUGAUGAGCCAGCCCCUCUGAGUGGCGUGGGGGCAGCCCUCUGCCCUCACACUUUAUUGCAUCUUUGGGCACCUGACGAAGCAGCUUGCACUGUAAGAGGAAGAAAGCAGGGCUGGAGGAGGUCUGGCCCCUUGCCUGUAGUCAACACAUGGUGUAACUUCCAUUGACCACACAAUGCUGGUGACGAGAUUUCCCCUGCCGGGGUCUCAGGGGAGAUCCCCUGAGGGCUUAGGGCCUCCUGCCCGGCUGCCCCCGCCCCUGCCCCCCAGGCCUUCCUCAGUCUCUCUUGCACACACGUGGUGCUGACCCUGAAUCCCGUGGUCUCCCUCCAGCCCUGACGGACCCCGAUUUCUCUCUGAAGGGAGCGGCCCCCCCUCCUUGGCAGCUAAACCUGCAGGGGCCCCUAGGAGUGGGUUUCCCCCGACAGCCAUCCGCUCCUUCCCUCGCCCGGCAUCGCGCUGUUGACAACCUGUAGCCUCGGGAAUCAGCCGGCGGGACGGAAAAUUGGGAGGCGUCCUGGAGGACGCUUGUAAGAAGGCUAUGACUUCAGAAUUUGGGGGAGGGGGUGGAAGUCAGGCACUCAGCGGGGGCUCCUCAGAGAGAACCUCACUUAAGAUCUGAACGUCCGAACCGAACCGAAUGGAAUUUGUUCCCUCCGGCUCAACGGCCUCCCUUUCCCCAUCCAUACACAGCGGCCGCCUUUCUACCACCACGCGGUGCCCUGCCCAUGCCAGCCCCCCGGGUGUGGGGGCUGCACUGCAUGACUUCAGAUUGGUGCCUUUAAAUCUCAAAUGAUUCCAAGGACCCCUCAAGUAUUUGGAACAGAAGUGCAUGGUGAAGGUGUGUGGCGAGGUUUUAAAAACCAGUCCACUCUGGGGCCUUUGCUUCAGGAUUUCUGGGCAGACCGCCAGCUUCUCUUUCCAAUUAAACGCCCCAUUUGGCUGGCGGGUGGGCCCCUGCGCUGGAAGGGGGAGAUGGCUGCUACCCCCGCUGUCUGGAUGCAAUCUGGGGACAGAUUUCAUAAGUCGGGGGAAGGAAUGCACCUGAGAUCCCAUCGCAGCAGAAGUGUCCCCUCAGCAGCUCCCCGUAAAGGAGGAGAAUCUGUGUGUCCAGAUCCAGGAAGGACACGCUGGGUGAAGAGCGGGGUGAGGGGCCUAGGGAAGGGGGGACAAGGGUGACAACAGCUUCAGCCUAGGAGGGCAAGGGGAGCAUGGACCCCUCACUCAAGGCACCUCUCCACGGGCUGCUCUGGGUGACGUUUGGACCAAGACUAUAAUGCAUCCAUCAGAACAAAUAAUGCCAUGCAGAGCUCACGGCAGGCAAACUCUCCCUAUGUGAUCAGCACGGUGGCACAAGGACCCUAGGACGUAGAUGGGGAACCUGAGGUUCAGGAAGUUGAGUCGACAAGGUCGCAGGCUGGCUGGAGCCGGGGCUGGAUCCAAGCUGGAGAGAGAAGCCUCCCCCAGCCUUCAUCAGCUUUGGACCCCAUGGCCUCUACCAUGAAGGCCCUGGGGCCAGCCAGGGAAGAAGGCUGUGGAGCACGUGGGCGCACACACGCGUGCAAAUGCGCGUGGACUUUUGCACAUACGUGUACACGUUGGGAGGAGCCUGUAAAGAAAAAAAGAAAAAAACGUAAUGAAAUGACUCUGAGCAAAGCCAGGUGCCCAGAAAGGAAGCAGAAGGAAGAUGAAAGGCAAGAACGCAACCCCCGCCCGCCUCUAGAAACUUCCAACAGGAGGAGGCCUCCUGCUGGCUCCCAUUUGUGGACGCAAGGCCACCGGAGCUGCCACUGCCAUGCUGGGACUGCGUGGCUGAGGGGACACGUCCAGGGGGAGGCCGGUGACCCCAAGGCGGCUAUCUCAGCCUGCGAUCUCAUCACCAGAUGGGCCCUCUCUCGCACGCUCCCUAAAAAGCCGGAAAUCCAUCUGCAAGGCAGGACAAAUGGCCAUCCCUGCUUCUUCCAUCUGCCAGGACAUGUGAACACGGGCGCUGUGGCAGCGCCGGCUGAGGGAUUCUGGGUAUUUACAGCCAGCGAUCUCUUAUCAGCUGUGCCAUCGAGCCGUGAUGGGCUAGGCUGACCCUGCAUCUAUCCGAAUGUGCUGAUCCUUUGAGACUUGUCUAACCCUUUAAUGCAAGGCGACAGCAAUACUGUUUCCUGUCAGGCCCAAAGACACCACUGCCUGUUUUGCAAAGGACGCGUGCCCGACUUCCCGGCAAAUUGAAGACAACUGGGAAACGUCCACCUAUCCAUUCACAGGCCAAGGGCGCUGCGGGCUUCACCGUCCACUGGGAUUUCACCUCCAAGGCCCCAUCUCAGAUCAGAAGCUAUUAGGACGACCGGCCCAUCAGCAGCGGGGAGACAGCACAAGGUGGAGGAGCAGAAUUGCUCUUCUUGUCCCCGUUUGCUACUAAAGUGCUGUGUGACAUUGGCUAAGUCGCUUGCCCUCUCUGUUUCCCAUUUUGUUCGGCUGCACAACCAGCUCUUUGGUGCUGGGAUUUGGAGUUUAAACCUCCUCAGCCGGGUCUUCCAAACCCCUGACAACGCUCAGGCUUCUUCUCCCUCCCCCUGUGCCCCACGUUGCCCUGAAGGCCUUGCGGGUCCCAAACAGUGCCCCCAGCCAGCCCCUUGUCCUCCAUCCGCUACCCUGCUCCGAUCGCAGCUGAGAGAGGACCACCGGCCAGUUCCUCCUUCGCGGUGCAUCCCCAUUUUGCAGGUGGGAGGACGGUGGCUCAGGGAAGCAACGUGAGAAAGUGGUGAAGCCAACGUGAGCCCCGGACUCUGCUCUGCUGCAGACCCUGAGGGUCUCCUGAGUGGAGGGAGAGACCCCGGAGGCAGAGGCACGGCCAAGACAGCAUCUUGGCCCUGGACGGCGGCGGAAUACCAGCAGCACCUCGGCGGAGACCUCUGCACCCUGAGACUCGAAGAGGAGGUUCCAACCUGCAGGGAACAGCAUGGGCCCUUUCCAGGUGGAGACACAAGAGUGCAAGCUCCCAGGAGGAGGUCGGCCCCGAACCCCCAUCAUGACCUGGUCUCCAAGUGCCCCCCAACCCCCACCUCUAACAACUCCUGCCCCCACCCGGGGCAGCGCUGUAUGGCUAAAAGCAUCGUGUCCCUCUGUCUGUCUUUCCCUCUGUCUCUCCCUCUGUCUGUCUCUUUUUAGGGCUACACCUGCAGCAUAUGGAAGUUCACAGGCUAGGGGUUGAAUCAGAGCUACAGCUGCCGGUCUACACCACAGCAUGUGACAAUGCCAGAUCCUUAACCCACUGGAUGAGGCCAAGGAUCAAAUCUGCAUCCUCACAGAGACAAUAUCAGGUCCUUAACCCACUGAGCCACAGUACUCCCAAAGUGGCCCAAUUUUUGUCUCUUAGUAUUUUAUUUUAUUUUAUUUUAUUUUAUUUUAUUUUGUCUUUUUUAGGACUGCACCCACAGCACAUGGAAGUUCCCAGGCUAGGGGUCAAGAUGGAGCUGCAGCUGCCAGCUUACACCACACCCACAGCAAUGCCAGAUCCGAGCCGCAUCUGUGAGCUACAUGGAAGCUCAUGUCAAGGCCGGAUCCCCAACCCACUGAGUGAGGCCAGGGAUAGAACCCAUGUCCUCGUGGAUACUAGUUGGGCUCAUUACUGCUGAGCCACAGCAGGAACUCCUGCCUCUCUUUUAAACCUGAGUUUUCUAUAAAAGACUCCAUUCAAGGAAAAAUUUCUAUAGUACAUCAAUUUAAAUUAUUUUUCUUUAUGUUGGCAAACAACAGUCAAUUUACAAACGUGCCAACUUGCCAUAGUAACAGCGAAGUUUCUCAUAAUGGGUUUGCAGGGGGGCUCCUAAAAAGGCCAAGAGAAUACCUACCUUCCAGUCUCCGGCGGCAGCCCCCACAGCCUGGGGGCGGCUGGGCAGCUACACAGGUCACCAUGGAUACGCACUCUCCUUGACCACACCCCAUCCACCCAGUUUAAUGCGCACCUGCUAUGUGCCAGGCGCUGAGCAGGACGGAGACAGCCCUCCCACACGCCUCCCAUCUUCCCAGGCCGUGCUGGGAGCAUCACCACCCCCCGAGAUGCCUCUGACAUCCGGCAUCAGGUCCUGCGGCGGCCGGGGCACUGACUCCUCCAGCAGGACCAGAGCGCAGCCGCUAUCACUGGCCUGUUGUCUCCUUUCCACCUGCCCGUCCUACCAGUCCCUCCCAAAUUCUCCCGGUUCAUCUUCAGAGCCGGACUGCGUUCCUUAUCAGGGCCUCCCGCGGGAAGUCUGCUCGUGCGAGCAUCAGUGAUCUUGCUGGGCCAAGAUGGGCGGUUUCCAGCAAAAGUCCCCCCACACCUGUGCACCCCCACCACCAUCGUCCAAAACUGGACUUGCCUCUUGGGGGAUUUUUCCACCGGACUGGAGCACCACCUACGAGGGCAGUGAGCACAGAUGCGGUCGCUGCCUGUCCCCGUGCCUUGCACAGCCGAGGCAUCUUCAGCCAAUCCUUGUUCAAUGAAUAAAAGAGAACGCUUU
Molecule: long non-coding RNA, 7958 nt
Filed under: Sus scrofa (pig)
Lineage: Eukaryota; Metazoa; Chordata; Mammalia; Artiodactyla; Suidae
Description: lncRNA (ENSSSCG00025052439.1)
Source: RNAcentral